RNAcentral lists this ribosomal RNA (459 nucleotides) under uncultured bacterium. Its description in RNAcentral is "bacterial SSU rRNA". It matches the Rfam family "Bacterial small subunit ribosomal RNA", at positions 29 to 506 of the family's 1533-position model. The record is from RNAcentral.
AUGAACGCUGGCGGCGUGCUUAAUACAUGCAAGUCGAACGAAGAGUGUAGCAAUACUCUCUUAGUGGCGAAUGGGUGCGUAACACGUGGGUGACCUGCCCCGAAGUGCGGAAUAACAGAUCGAAAGGCCUGCUAAUACCGCAUGUGGUUCUGGAGGUUAGAGGCUUCAGAACUAAAGUCGCAAGACGCUUCGGGAGGGGCCUGCGGUCCAUCAGCUAGUUGGUAGGGUAACGGCCUACCAAGGCGACGACGGAUAGGGGACCUGAGAGGGUGACCCCCCACACUGACACUGAAACACGGGUCAGACGCCUACGGGUGGCAGCAGUAAGGAAUAUUGCACAAUGGGCGAAAGCCUGAUGCAGCAACGCCGCGUGCGCGAUGAAGGCCUUCGGGUCGUAAAGCGCUUUUCGGGGAGAUGAGAAAGGACAGUAUCCCCGGAAUAAGGUACGGCUAACUACGU